Molecule: ribosomal RNA, 468 nt
Filed under: uncultured bacterium
Lineage: Bacteria
Description: partial 16S ribosomal RNA
Rfam family: Bacterial small subunit ribosomal RNA
Source: RNAcentral
GACGAACGCUGGCGGCGUGCUUAACACAUGCAAGUCGAACGGAAAGGCCCUGCUUUUGUGGGGUGCUCGAGUGGCGAACGGGUGAGUAACACGUGAGUAACCUGCCCUUGACUUUGGGAUAACUUCAGGAAACUGGGGCUAAUACCGGAUAGGAGCUCCUGCUGCGUGGUGGGGGUGGGAGAGUUGCGGCGGGUGGGGUUGGACGCGCGGCUUAUCAGCGUUUUGGUGGGGUAGGGGCUUGCCAAGGCGUUGACGGGUGGCCGGCCUGAGCGGGUGACCGGCCACACUGGGCCUGGGAUACGGCCCAGACUCCUCCGGGAGGCAGCAGUGGGGAAUAUUGCAUAAUGGGCGGAAGCCUGAUGCAGCACCGCCGCGUGCGGGAUGACGUCCUUCGCGUUGUAAACCGCUUUCGCCUGUGACGAAGCGUUAGUGACGGUAAUGGGUAAAGAAGCCCCGGCUAACUACGUG